UUAGCGUAUCUUAGCUUAUCUCUGAUACGAUAUGAUACCUUUCGAUACGUAUCUUAAUUUUGGUCGACCGAUACGAUGACCGAUACCGAUACUUUAAUCCUUGGUCUUGGGUCAUGAUGGUUCUUUUGAUUAAGGCAGAAGCUCUAUGUUAAGGGUGUGUUACAAGGUUGUCCUGCCCAGUUUUGGUUCAGGUUGCAGGUCAAUUUGCCUUCCUAAACCUUAACUCAGAACACUGGUGUCUAAGUAAUUAUAGUUGGUUUGUAAAGUAAGAACUUAUUUUGGUGAAUGGUGAUUGGAUGAUCAUUGUGAUGUGGAUCCAGGUUCCGAAACCGAAAUUGGAUCGCUUAUGGCCCCACAAGAAUAAUAGAUAGUUCAAACUGAGAGUUUGGGUGGCAAAUCCGUAAUAUCCAAAACAAAUAGGUCUUUAGAAGUAAGUACAUAGCAACUGGGGUAGUUUUGGAAUUAAAACUUUAAAAUAAGGGAUUAUUCUAGAAAUUUAAGGAAAGUUGGAUAAAUAUAACUAAAGCUCAGUCAAAGGGGGGUUUUAUGUAAUUAUGGCAGUCUGUCCAUACUUGAAUAUAGAGCACUAGCCUUCUUCAACCUUUAGCAUUCACGAUAAAACUCAGAACUAGCGGAGACCUAGGCUGGUUUCGAUUGAGAGAAGUCACCCAACUCUGCUUUGCUCACCUUGAAACUUCCCACGAAGGUGGGAAUCUCUAUGGGCUCUCGUUUUCAACCGAUGGAUAUCUCGAAUCAUCAACCAAAGGAGAUUGAUUACUGCUGCAAAUUGAACCUGGCGGAACUGUGGAACCAGAUCUGAAAUUCUGAGAUCGUUCUCCAAUACUAGAGCUGGAAGUACCGCCCAGAACAGAGUAUUCUCAGGUAUGGGGAAUAAACAACAAAGAAAUAGGGAAAA
Long non-coding RNA from Macadamia integrifolia, 916 nucleotides. RefSeq lists it as uncharacterized. Lineage: Eukaryota; Viridiplantae; Streptophyta; Magnoliopsida; Proteales; Proteaceae. The transcript is spliced from 2 exons. The record is from RefSeq and is a predicted model, not a curated record.